This 253-nucleotide ribosomal RNA is filed under the name uncultured bacterium. RNAcentral's name for it is "partial 16S ribosomal RNA". It matches the Rfam family "Bacterial small subunit ribosomal RNA", at positions 524 to 776 of the family's 1533-position model. The record is from RNAcentral.
UACGGGGGGGGCAAGCGUUGUUCGGAAUUACUGGGCGUAAAGGGCUCGUAGGCGGCCAACUAAGUCAGACGUGAAAUCCCUCGGCUUAACCGGGGAACUGCGUCUGAUACUGGAUGGCUUGAGUUUGGGAGAGGGACGCGGAAUUCCAGGUGUAGCGGUGAAAUGCGUAGAUAUCUGGAGGAACACCGGUGGCGAAGGCGGCGUCCUGGACCAGCACUGACGCUGAGGAGCGAAAGCCAGGGGAGCAAACGGG